GUUCGGCUACAUCACUGGGGCGCCAUGGUGCCUGGAGCUGGGCAGUUUUCUCAUCAGAGUGGGGACUGGUAAGAGUGACCUCCCCGCCAGGUUCUGUGUGUUGCCGGCUGAAGAAGGGUAGCUGAAAAAUUCAGACCCAGCACAGUGUUUAUGUUGGUCAAAAAUAGAAAACUAUGUCUGGCGCGGCCGAGGCGGGAGGACCCUUCAGGCCAAGAGCAGCCUAGCAACAUGGCGCAACCCCAUCUCUGUAGUCCUACCUCAGCCCCCCAGCUACUUGAACCCAAAGGUUCAAGGCUCCAGUGAGCUAUGAUCCCACCACAGCAUUCCAGCCUGCGAGAUUGAGAUGAUGAUUAUUCCCCACCUUCUAAGAGACAAAGACCAACGAGCCACCACAGCCACCAGUCCCAGAACCCGCCAAUGCUGGGGAACGGAAAAUGAGGGAGUUCAACUCUGGCCCUCACAAUCCAGUGGAGGAGACGCAACUCAUCUGCCUCUGUCCCUCUGGGCACGCCUCAUGCCAGGUGCAUCUGUGGACAGGGGCCAUGCUCCUGGGCUUCCAAAGUUGGAGAAAGCUGCCAGGCUCAGGUCUGAAGGCCAGAAUUCUACAGUAAGUCCUACUGAGUCAAGGUGGGAGCAGGGUCGGUAGCUUCCGAGGCUCUGCGGGAGAAUCUGUUUCCUGGCCGUAGAGGUGGCCUGCACUCCUCAGCCUGUGCUGCCCGUCUCGAAUGACUGGAGUUUCCUGCUUCUGUCACUACACCUCCCACCCUCUCCAUCACCUGCUCUGCUCUUACAAGGAUCCGAAGAAAUGGAAUCAUCGUAUCGCUGAUCUACGUAAACAAACUGAAGAAUUGUCUGAAAGAAAAUAUGACAUGAACUUAUGAAUUCAACAGGUGAAGAUUUACAACUUGAUAAAUCAACUUUGUCAGCUCGAGCUGUAAAAGCCAAAGGUCCGGUGAUGAUCCCAUACCCUUUUUUCCAGUCUCAUGUUGAAGAUUUUUAUGUAGAAGGCCUUCCCAAAGGAAUUUUUUUUUUUUUUUUUUGAGAUGGAGUUUUCACUCUUAUCGCCCAGGCUGGGGUGCAAUGGCGCAACCUUGCUGGUCACUGCAACCUCUGCCUCCUGGGUUCAAGAAAUUCUCCUGCCUUAGCCUCCCAAGUCACUGGGAUUACAGGUGCCCACCACCACACCAGGCUAAUUUUUGUAUUUUUAGUGGAGAUGCGGUUUCACCAUGUUGGCCGGGCCAGUCUCGAACUCCUGACGUCAAGUGAUCUUCCCGCCUCGACUCCUGAUAUCAAGUGAUCUUCCCGCCUCGGCCUCCC
Molecule: long non-coding RNA, 1317 nt
Filed under: Homo sapiens (human)
Lineage: Eukaryota; Metazoa; Chordata; Mammalia; Primates; Hominidae
Description: non-protein coding lnc-OR4F16-4:1
Source: RNAcentral